CCCGCGGCCGCCGCCCGGAGCGAUGGCCGGGAGCAGCUCGCUGGAGGCGGUGCGGAGGAAAAUCCGGAGCUUGCAGGAGCAGGCGGACGCCGCGGAGGAGCACGCGGGCAGUCUGCAGCGCGAGCUGGACUACGAGAGGAAGCUGAGGGAGACCGCUGAAGCCGACGUAGCUUCUCUGAACAGACGCAUCCAGCUGGUUGAGGAAGAGUUGGAUCGUGCCCAAGAGCGACUGGCAACAGCUUUGCAGAAGCUGGAGGAGGCCGAGAAGGCCGCAGACGAGAGCGAGAGAGGCAUGAAAGUCAUUGAAAGUCGAGCCCAAAAAGACGAGGAGAAAAUGGAAAUUCAGGAGAUCCAACUGAAAGAGGCCAAGCACAUCGCUGAAGAUGCCGACCGCAAGUAUGAAGAGGUGGCCCGUAAGCUGGUCAUCAUUGAGAGUGACCUGGAACGCGCGGAGGAGCGGGCCGAACUCUCGGAAAGCCAAGUCCGACAGCUGGAAGAACAAUUAAGAAUAAUGGAUCAGACCUUGAAAGCAUUAAUGGCUGCAGAGGAUAAGUACUCGCAGAAGGAAGACAAAUAUGAGGAAGAGAUCAAGGUCCUUUCUGACAAGCUGAAGGAGGCCGAGACUCGGGCUGAGUUUGCAGAGAGGUCAGUAACUAAAUUGGAGAAAAGCAUUGAUGACUUAGAAGAUAAGUUUCUUUGCUUCACUUCUCCCGAGACCCCUUCAUCAAGCUGGCUGUCCCACCUCUCUGAGCUCUGCAGUAUGUCUCUUCUCCAGCUGACCUGGCUCGUUCCUUUAGCCUCCAGCCUAAGGGCCAGGCACACUGCUUUCCAUUGUACAGAAGCCCCUCGUUUCAGUGUCAAAUAAACACUGUGCAAGCU
Molecule: RNA transcript, 879 nt
Organism: Enhydra lutris kenyoni (northern sea otter)
Lineage: Eukaryota; Metazoa; Chordata; Mammalia; Carnivora; Mustelidae
Gene name: tropomyosin alpha-3 chain pseudogene
Exons: 1
Source: RefSeq, a predicted model, not a curated record